UACGGAGGAUCCCAGCGUUAUCCGGAAUUAUUGGGUUUAAAGGGUCCGUAGGCGGAUUAAUUAGUCAGCGGUGAAAUUUCGAGGCUUAACUUCGAACUGGCCGUUGAAACUGUUAAUCUAGAGUCAUUGUGAUGUGGUUGGAACGUGCAGUGUAGCGGUGAAAUGCAUAGAUAUUGCGCAGAACACCAAUUGUGAAAACAGAUCACAAACAAUGAACUGACGCUGAGGGACGAAAGCGUGGGGAGCAAACAGG
Molecule: ribosomal RNA, 253 nt
Filed under: uncultured bacterium
Lineage: Bacteria
Description: partial 16S ribosomal RNA
Rfam family: Bacterial small subunit ribosomal RNA
Source: RNAcentral